Molecule: long non-coding RNA, 698 nt
Filed under: Equus asinus (donkey)
Lineage: Eukaryota; Metazoa; Chordata; Mammalia; Perissodactyla; Equidae
Description: lncRNA (ENSEASG00005038314.1)
Source: RNAcentral
UUUUCCUUCAUUCAAACAAUCCAGAGAGAUCUACUGAGGAGCAGAUACUCAGCCAAGCAGACAUGGGCCUUCAGAAAGAAAGAGGCCAAGAAAUAUUUGUUUACGUUAAAAAGAAAGCAUAAAAAAACAGAACUCAAGCUAGCAGAGGCCCUGGGAGAGCAGCUGGUCCAGCCCCUGCUCCUCGCCGCACAGAGAAGGCACAAGGCUAUGGCUGAGGCGGCCUAAUCUGGCCUGUGGGUCCGCUCCAGCAGUCAUCAUCUGGUUUUGUUAACAAGGAACUAUUUACAAAAACUGAGAAACCACACUCCAAGAUGGAAAACCAAGAUUUGGGCAAAUUAAAGCAUGGAAUAUCAAGCCUCAUUUUCAGAUUAGGAAACCGAGGCCUGGAAAGUUUAAGCAGCUUGCCCGCAGUUGACUGUCCACGCGUCCAGGAUCAGAGGAGUCCUGGCUCUGGCGGGCCCCUUGGAGAAGGUGAAGCCUUCCAUGGCCAUCAGCCCCUGAUGCUGGAUACCAGACACCACAUCAGGAAACCAAGCCUCAGAGACGCGGAGUUAGGCUUCAGAUCUGGCAAGAGCAGACUGCGUCUGGGUAUCACACAUUCCGGCCUGAACCAGAAGGACGUGGAAACGCACACAAAACGUUGACCAUGACAUUCAGGAACUAAGUGACGUUGUUAAACGCUCCUUGGAACACCUAGG